This is a long non-coding RNA of Helianthus annuus (common sunflower), 374 nucleotides long. RefSeq lists it as uncharacterized. The transcript has 3 exons. NCBI's taxonomy places the organism in Eukaryota, Viridiplantae, Streptophyta, Magnoliopsida, Asterales, Asteraceae. The record is from RefSeq and is a predicted model, not a curated record.
UGCUUGCACUCAUUGGUGGGCACCACCCGAACCAUCCAAGUCGACACAUCCACAUAUUACAAUCAUGGCACCUUUGAGAGCUUCAACUGCAAACGUGUACUCCCAGACGAAACAAGCUGGCAACCUGAUAGACCUACCAGCCCUGCUCCCAUUACUAGGCUGGAUAAAGGGGUGAUGACAAUACCAACACCAGUUAAGCUCAAAGAAACGAACAGAAAGUCCAUCCCUACUUAUGCGGGUUGUGAAUCAGAUGGUUCCAUGAAUGACACUCCAUGUGAAAGCCCCACUUAUGAAGCUUCGUAUUCAGAUGGUUCCGUAGGGAGCGCACCAGGUGAAAGUGGACCGUCAGCUACAUAGCCAUCCAUGAACGCCUU